UCAUUAGAAUCGUUUUGCUUUAUUUGUUCUGUAUCACUGAAAAGCAAGUGAGAAAUUCAAAGCAUGUUGAAAAUGUGAAGGUAUUAGCGUGCUUUAUGAGGGCGAGCGGCUGAUAUAAAGCCCACUACCACUCUAUUAAAAAACAGAGACCUGUGCCAUUUGUGAAAAUAGAGGUCAUAUAUGCUGAGGUCAUGUGAUAGCUAUAAAAUCAAACUUUUUUAAUAACUAGCCGUAUAUCACCCCCCUGCCUCCGUCAUUGUGAAUGUUAAAUCAUGGGGCCGGUUUAGCAAUGUAUCCAAAAGACAUGUGUUAUCGGGCGGGGAAGAAAAAAAAAAGAUCUAAAAGAAUGAGCACAUUUCUUUGUUAUCACCGUCUCACUUUCUUUGUUGUCUUUUUCUCCUUCUUUUAAAGGUACGUCUGGGAACCUACUCUUACCCCUCCCCUGUACCCUCCGGUAGUAUUUUUAGCCCUCAUUUGUUUGAGCGUUUUUUAAUCUGAGGACAUUGAAAAGUUGUGCCCUCCAUGAAGUCGUCAAUCACGCCGGAGGGAGAAGCGCAGGGCAUGAUUUGUUAUCUGCUAUUUCUCUCGCUGUAUAGAGAGAGGUAAAGGGAGAUAGGGGGAGAGAGAGAGAGAGAGAGAGAGAAGCGCACAGUGGCAUGUCUGUCCUUAAGGCCAUCACUUACACAGGACCACUGUCUGUCAAAAAGCAGCGGCAACUUUAAGGGCCGCCUUUGUUGGCUCGGACAAAUGAGGGUGACCUUUAACAAUAAAAUAGACACCUACAGAGAGAAAUGAAACGGCAGUUUAAAUUAAGAGCACCAAGCGGUCAUUUCAAACACUUCCUGUUGAACCGUGUGAGAGGGAGGGGAAGAGGAAAAAAAACAGUCUGAAGUUUUGAAGUUGAACUUAAUUAUACAACACAAUGUGGGCAGCACUUGUCAAUAAUGAAAUCUACCUGGUCAGGGAUAUUGACGAACAGCGUGGAAUAAAACUUAAUGUGGCCUGAAGCGUUCCAGAGAGCCAUCAAUUAUGAAUGCUAUCGACUGAGCAUGUCACAUAAAAAAAAAAAAAAGAGACGAGAAAGAGAGGUAGAGAGGUAGGCGCGAGGCAGGGAUACAGAGCGAGACGUGUGAGGAGCGAUUACAGUAUUUGUUUGAUCCCGACUCUACAGAAAAGCUCUGGAGGCAGUCGCUUUGUUCCCGGCGAACUAGUCGAGCAUAACCGCGUCGAAAAACUCGACUCGUAUCGACGGGACAGUGAGAAGAGAUUUCUGUCGCUCUGAGAAUUCAAAGCCAGCGGUGCGGUACUUUCGAAAGACUCAAGAGCGAACAGAGAUGAGUGACGCCUG
This is a long non-coding RNA of Ictalurus punctatus (channel catfish), 1348 nucleotides long. NCBI's taxonomy places the organism in Eukaryota, Metazoa, Chordata, Actinopteri, Siluriformes, Ictaluridae. The record is from Ensembl.